ACGGAAGGCAGCAGUGGGGGAUAUUGCACAAUGGGGGAAACCCUGAUGCAGCGACGCCGCGUGAGCGAAGAAGUAUUUCGGUAUGUAGAGCUCUAUCAGCAGGGAAGAAAAUGACGGUACCUGACUAAGAAGCUCCGGCUAAAUACGUGCCAGCAGCCGCGGUAAUACGUAUGGAGCAAGCGUUAUCCGGAUUUACUGGGUGUAAAGGGAGCGUAGACGGUUUGCCAAGUCUGAUGUGAAAGGUGGGGGCUCAACCCCCAAACUGCAUUGGAAACUGGUAGACUAGAGUGUCGGAGAGGUAAGUGGAAUUCCUAGUGUAGCGGUGAAAUGCGUAGAUAUUAGGAGGAACACCAGUGGCGAAGGCGGCUUACUGGACGAUAACUGACGUUGAGGCUCGAAAGCGUGGGGAGCAAACAGGAUUAGAUACCCUGGUA
Molecule: ribosomal RNA, 434 nt
Filed under: uncultured Lachnospiraceae bacterium
Lineage: Bacteria; Bacillati; Bacillota; Clostridia; Lachnospirales; Lachnospiraceae
Description: partial 16S ribosomal RNA
Rfam family: Bacterial small subunit ribosomal RNA
Source: RNAcentral